RNAcentral lists this transfer RNA (70 nucleotides) under Granata lyrata. Its description in RNAcentral is "tRNA-Pro". It matches the Rfam family "tRNA". From Rfam's summary of the family: Transfer RNA (tRNA) molecules are approximately 80 nucleotides in length. Their secondary structure includes four short double-helical elements and three loops (D, anti-codon, and T loops). The record is from RNAcentral. Lineage: Eukaryota; Metazoa; Mollusca; Gastropoda; Seguenziida; Chilodontidae.
CUGGAGGUAGUUUAAUGUUAGAAUGCCGGUCUUGGAAGCUGGUGAUUGGGAGGACGGUCCCACCUCUUGA